This 167-nucleotide ribosomal RNA is filed under the name uncultured bacterium. RNAcentral describes it as "partial 16S ribosomal RNA". It matches the Rfam family "Bacterial small subunit ribosomal RNA", at positions 1332 to 1500 of the family's 1533-position model. The record is from RNAcentral.
UCGCUAGUAAUCGCGGAUCGGAAUGCCGCGGUGAAUACGUUCUCGGGCCUUGUACACACCGCCCGUCACACCAUGGGAGUCGGUAACACCCGAAGUCUGUAGCCUGACGCAAGAGGGCGCAGCCGAAGGUGGGAUUGAUGACUGGGGUGAAGUCGUAACAAGGUAAC